GGGGAACCUGCCGAAGGAUCAUUACCGAGUGAGGGCCCUCUGGGUCCAACCUCCCACCCGUGUCUAUCGUACCUUGUUGCUUCGGCGGGCCCGCCGUUUCGACGGCCGCCGGGGAGGCCUUGCGCCCCCGGGCCCGCGCCCGCCGAAGACCCCAACAUGAACGCUGUUCUGAAAGUAUGCAGUCUGAGUUGAUUAUCGUAAUCAGUUAAAACUUUCAACAACGGAUCUCUUGGUUCCGGCAUCGAUGAAGAACGCAGCGAAAUGCGAUAAGUAAUGUGAAUUGCAGAAUUCAGUGAAUCAUCGAGUCUUUGAACGCACAUUGCGCCCCCUGGUAUUCCGGGGGGCAUGCCUGUCCGAGCGUCAUUGCUGCCCUCAAGCACGGCUUGUGUGUUGGGCCCCCGUCCCCCUCUCCCGGGGGACGGGCCCGAAAGGCAGCGGCGGCACCGCGUCCGGUCCUCGAGCGUAUGGGGCUUUGUCACCUGCUCUGUAGGCCCGGCCGGCGCCAGCCGACACCCAACUUUAUUUUUCUAAGGUUGACCUCGGAUACAGGUAGGGAUACCCGCU
Molecule: ribosomal RNA, 564 nt
Filed under: Aspergillus sp. ASR-283
Lineage: Eukaryota; Fungi; Ascomycota; Eurotiomycetes; Eurotiales; Aspergillaceae
Description: eukaryotic LSU rRNA
Rfam family: 5.8S ribosomal RNA (bases 210-363)
Source: RNAcentral